GACGAACGCUGGCGGCGUGCCUAAUACAUGCAAGUCGAACGCAGUGGGGACGGGUGAGUAACACGUGGGUAACCUCCCAUCAGAGGGGAUAACACUUGGAAACAGGUGCUAAACCGAUACUGAUGGAUGGACCCGCGGUGCAUUAGCUGGUUGGGGAGGUAACGGCUCAACAAGGCCACGAUGCAUAGACGACCUGAGAGGGUGACAUGCCACACGGGAACUGAGACACGGCCCAGACGCCUACGGGAGGCAGCAGUGGGGAAUAUUCGGCAAUGGACGAAAGUCUGACCGAGCAACGCAGCGUGUGUGAAGAAGGUUUUCGGAUCGUAAAGCUCUGUUGUGAGAGAAGCGGUAUCUAACCAGAAAGCCACGGCUAACUCCGUGCCAGCAGCCGCGGUAAUAC
RNAcentral lists this ribosomal RNA (403 nucleotides) under uncultured bacterium. RNAcentral describes it as "partial 16S ribosomal RNA". It matches the Rfam family "Bacterial small subunit ribosomal RNA", at positions 28 to 526 of the family's 1533-position model. The record is from RNAcentral.